Molecule: long non-coding RNA, 11333 nt
Filed under: Populus tremula
Lineage: Eukaryota; Viridiplantae; Streptophyta; Magnoliopsida; Malpighiales; Salicaceae
Description: long non-coding RNA (PTRE_LNC000373)
Source: RNAcentral
UUCUUUAAUAUAUUUGCAAUUUUAUCAUUAAAAAUAUAUACAAAUAAAUAAAACAAAAUACAAACACACACACACACUUUCACUAUUUUUAUUCUUUUCUUUUCUUUUUCUUUUCUUUUACAUCCACAAAAUACAAAUACAAAUACAAAUUCAAAAUAAAUAAAUAAAAAUACACCAACACACACAUCCCCUUUGUUAUUAUUAUUUUCUUUUCUUUUCUUCUUUUUUUUCUUUUACAUCCAAAUACAAAUACAACUUCAAAUUCAAAAUAAACAAAUAAAAAUUACAUUAAUUAAUUUAAAAAUUACAAAAACAGUCCCUAAAAUUCUAAAAAAUUUCAGGGAAGGACUUCUGCAGCCGGAACAGUGUUCGUCAUGGUUUCUGGGCUCGGGAACAGUGGGGGCGCGUGGAUCUCACCCGCCACCACCACUGGCGGCGCGUGGGUCCACGCGCCGCCACAGAAAAUAAAACAGCAACAGGGGGUCUGGAUCGCCUUCUUCCCCUCUUCCUUCGUCGCCGGCGAUAACCUGCAAAGCAAACCCCCAACACAACAAGCAGUUGAUUUUAUUUUUUUUGUCUUAGAUCUGCUUUUAAUUUUUUUGUUUUCUCCGAUCUGUUCCUUCUCCUUCUCUUCUUCUCGGCUUCGGAUCUGCUCCUUCUACAGAUCGGUUCUGUUAUGGGUUUCUUCUUUUCUCCGGUGGUAGAUCGGUCGGGAGGAGCAGCUGUCCGUGGUCGCUGGGUUUCGUCUUCUUCUCCUCUGCUUCGGGUGGCAGAUCGGGCGGUGGCUCCGUGGCUGCUGAAGCUGUGGUUCUGUGGCCGGUUGAAGGCAGUGGAACAGGCGAAAGUGUUACCCCGGCGCUGCUGUUCUUCCGCCGCUGAAGAAGGAAAUCGAAGGGGAAACCGCCGUGGUUGAGGAGGGUGAGGGGGAGUGAGCGGCUGUGCAAGGGCUGAGCCCUUGACUAACGAAAAGAAAGAAAAAAAAUGAUGAGUGAGGGGGUGGCGGCCGGUUCUCCUGAGGAAGAAGAAAAGGAUGGUGGCCGGCGGCUGGAGUGGUUGAGGCUGGGGCGAGGAAAAAAAAAAUUAUAUAUAUAUGCCGGGGAAGGGGGCUGCCGAUUGAGUGAGAAGAGAAAAAAAGAAAAAAAAAAAUUUCAAAAGGUGAGGUGGGGUGAGCGGCUUGGUUCAGCGGCUGCAAAGGAAAAAACUUUUAGGUUUAGGGUUUUUUGGUUCUUGUGUUGUCUUUCCCACCAAUCUCAAAAUUACCCCCCCCAUUUGUUUGAGUUAAAGACCAGUAUUUAUAGGUAAAAAAUGUUGCUAGGUUUUUCAACUUGGUCCCUCAAUUUCUUUCUUUUUGUAAAUUUUGAUUUUUCUUAUUUUUUUGUAUUUUUGAAAACGAGCAAUAUCAACGUCGACUCAAAAUGCGGAAAAUCAAUGAUUUUAAAAAUGACGCGUGAAAAUUCGAACGCGUUUGAAAAUAUUUUAACAAUUUAAAUUUUUUUUUAGACGCCGUUGAAAAUGCUAAAAUGACGAAAAUAUAUUAAAAAAAUAUUUUUUGGAUUUUCUUUGUUUUUCUCAAUUUUUUGGAUUUUUUGAAAAUAUAUCAAAAAGAUGGGUCAAAAAUUGGGUAGCAACAGAUGCCCCCUCUUUACAAUGCUUACGAAGCGAAAAUCCUCAAAAUUUUGCAUAGUAAGCUUUGUAAAGAAAACAAAAGGAAGAUGAUUUCAUUAUCUUGGGCGACCUGCCCACACACUCACACUGAUUUAUUUUCACAGGCGACCUGCCCACACAUACUCACUCUAGUCUAUUUUCACGGGUGACCGACCCACACUCUCCCAAUAGUCUAUUUUCACGGGCGACCUGCCCACACAUUGGGUUUACCUGAGAUCCCAUCUGGCGACCUCAUUCAACUGGAAUGAAAAUAUUGUGUAACUCGGUUAACCUGAAAUCCCAUCUGGCCAUUCCCUUUAACCAAAGCUACAUGAGAUCCCAUCUGGCGACCUCAUUCAAUUGGAACGAAAUAUGUGUAACUCGAUUAACCUGAAAUCCCAUCUGACGAUUCCCUUUAACCAAAGCUACAUGAGAUCCCAUCUGGCGACCUCAUUCUGGUCUCAUUGUACGGGUGACUAACCCUCAAAAAAUGCUGGUCUCAUUGUACGGGUGACGAACCCUAGUGCUGCUGGUCUCAUUAUACAGGUGACGAACCCUAGUGCUGGUCUCAUUGUACGGGUGACGAACCCUAGUGCUGGUUCAUUGUACGGGUGACGAACCCUAGAAAAAUGCUGGUCUCAUUGUACGGGUGACGAACCCUAGUUGCUGGUCUCAUUGUACGGGUGACGAACCCUAGAAAAUGAUGGUCUCAUUGUACGGGUGACGAACCCAGAAAAUAUGAUGGUCUCAUUGUAUGGGUGACGAACCCAGAAAAAAUGUGAAGUGCGAUCUCAUUGUAUGGGUGACCUACCCGUGGAAAAAAUAUGAAGUGGUCUCAUUGUAAUGGGUGACCUACCCAGAUGGAAAAAUAUGAAGUGGUCUCAUUGUAUGGGUGACCUACCCAGAUGGAAAAAAUGUGAAGUGUGGUCUCAUUGUAUGGGUGACCUACCCGGAUGGAAAAAAUGUGAAAAGUGUCUCAUUGUAUGGGUGACCUACCCAGAUGGAAAAAAUGUGAACGGUCUUAUUAUGAUGGGCGACCUACCCAGAUGGAAAAAAUGUGAUAUGACAAGUGUGAAAAAUAGGACUUACCUGGCGAAGUUCUGAAGGGAUGACAGAAGAAAGGGCUGGAAAACUUGGUGCUUCCUGAUAAUUCCCGAUCAUGGGGUUUGAAAACUCGGUGUUUCCUGACUGCAAGGGUUGAAAACUCGAGGCUUCCCGGUUGCAAGGUUGAUCUAUUCAUUUCUUUGGGAUUUUCCUAAUGGUAGGGUUCAUCCCAUCGUCCUUUUAUUCCAUGAUCAAAACCGAUUCUUUAUUAUCAUCACCACAAUGCUUCUUUCUCUUUCCACCAUCUUGCUGGACCUCAUUAAGGAUUUUCCUGUAACAAUUCAAAAAUAUGUGCAAAUGGUUUUUUUUUUUUUUUUUUUUUUUUUUGAGGUUAGAUGAUAUGCAUGCAUCCUUACCUGAUUUGAAAUAAUAGGUCCCCCCUCUUUGAUGCUCCAUCGUCAUAGGGUGCCCUUGUUUGUAUCCCAAAGCUUUCUUUGUUCUUUCCGAUGUAUUGGCUCAUUCAUGUGUUAGCCAUCCACUCAGCUGUAAAUGCAGUGCCCAUCCCGGGCUGUCUUCGACAAUUACUGCUUGCAUCGUUCAUGAAGCUUGACCCUGCCCCAAGUGUAGUACUGCUUGAUUCAUCAUGAGAGAUUUUCUCUCCUGGCUUCUUCUGAGAAAUUAUCCUCUGAUUGAUUGUGUGCAUCAUGCCAACACCCAUCACGUUUGUUAAUCAGUCAUGAACUUGCCUUCGGUUGAAACACCAUUCAAGUAUGUAUGGUCACCAGCCUUCAUGGAACUGCCAAGUCAUCCAGACAUGUAUCUCAUGCUUUGCAGUAAACAGCUCAUCAUUGUAAGCGCGAUGUACUUCUCUAUGGAUUCCUCUUAGCUUGUCGAAUCAGAUCGUGAAAAUACCUGCUUUGGCAUCAUCAAUGAUGUUCAUGUUAUCACCCAUAUUCAUGCGGUGAAGUGCGCAUUUGAGCUUCAGAAUAGAUGUCCCACAAUCAGUCUUCGAGGUGGGUGCCUUUCCAACAUUCAUUCAGUGCAGUUGUGUGAUAACAUCUGUCUAUAACCAUGUUUCAAAGAAUGACAAUAUGAGAUUGUCCUUUAAGUGCAGCAUUGUUCCACAGUCAGUCUUGGUGGUAUGCAUCUUUUCUCCAUUCAAUUACAUUCAUCUGUGUAUUCCUCAUCGAUUGCGAGCCAUGUUUCAAAAAUGAUGAUAUGAAAGUGCCUUCAGGUACGUUUUGUUUCUCCAUUGCCGACAGGAUUCACUAAAGCAUGGGCCAUUUUGGAAUGACAUUGCCCCCAGUAUGAUCUGAAUGUGCUCGUUCAUUGAUUAUCUGUCUUUGAACAUCAUUGUCUUCAGUUCACUGAUUCAUCAUUUAAACAUUGCCUCAUAGCUGAUCUGAGCACUGCUUGUUUUUCCUUUUCAAGGUCUACUGUAUUGCCCCGCUGCUCAACUUUUCAAGGAGUGUCGAGGACUUCAAUGUCAUUUCUAUCAACGAUUUUGCAUACUCAAUCAAUGUUCUUCUGUGUUUGAUAAUCUUCCUUGUUCUGGAAUCAACUCUCAUAUUUCAAAGAUCAUGUCUAUUCAAAGUCUAGUUUGUUGAAAUGAAAUCAGAGAUGUCUUUUUUUGAAAAUCUUUUGAAAAUCAAGCUUUUUGAUCAAAGGCCCAACACAUUUUAUUCGAAAUAUAUAGUCCUUUGAUUGUCAUGCAUUUUGAAAACAGAAAUUGACCCAAUGUAGGAUUAAAAAUGGCUUUUUCCAUGGUUCUUUGUAUCAAUUUGAAUCCUUGAUAUUGGGUAUAUCAUUUGAUAGUUUAUGGUGAGGUGACCUUCUGUGAAUUUCAAGGAAAACAACAGGCUCAAGUCAAAACUUGAGGAUUCAUGAAGGAAAAUGUUUUGUUUUUAGCAAUAAUUUUAUCAACAUGCAUAACGACCGGUAACUUAAUUCAUGAAGUCACGACUCUUAUGGAAAAAAAAACUCUUCAAGUUUUGAGAGCGCCAUUUAUCGGUUCAAGUUGCUUGCUUGAUUAAAAAGAGCUUUUAAAAAAACAUGUAAUGCAGGCUAUGGUUCAUGGCUAUGAAAGAAAGGAAUUUCACAGGCUCAAAAGGUGUUUGAGGGUUUCAAAGACCUAGGAUCAACAUCAACUAUUCAUCAACUUGUUUUCUAUUGUUGUCUUUAUAGAGGAAACGACAUAUAACCUUGUUAACCUCAAAGUUCCGACUUUUCUUAACAUAAGUCAUAAUGCAAACCCAACUUUCUUUGAGGAAUAACCAACCUUAAUCAUCUGAUAACAUCAUAGGUUUUAUAACGGAUACCAAAAGUCAACGCUUAUAGCUUAGUCUUUUUUCUGGUAUUGACUUUUGUUGUGCCUUUCCUUGAUUGAAAUUUCUUUUGCUCUUCAUAGACUUGAUAGGCGUUCUCCUUCCUUUAUCUUUGACUUGUAUUUAAGUGAAGGCAAUUUCAACUUCCUUUUUUCAUUCUCUUUUUUUUUUUUCGUAGCCUUCCUCAAAAUUUUCUUAUAUGCCCCCAGUCUAUGUGUUUUCUUUUAGCUCUCUCUCAAUCAUUGGACCUUUGUUCUAAGCCUUCCCCUUUAUCCAUUAAUUAUAUCAAUGUCUCCAAAAUAUCUCUCAUUUGCCCCCAGUGUGGGGUGUGAUCCUAGUCAGGGUUUCUUUUUUUGAAAGAAAAUAUUUUACCAGGCUCAAAAUGGGACUGCAAGGGAUAUAAUCUUUAGAAAGUGAAGGGAUAUCAAAGAUGGCCUUUUCUCAUUUCAAGCAAGGUCGGUUAAACCGAUAAAUUUUGACCUCAUCCAGUGUAAUGAUUGGGACUUGUAAGAAUCAUGAUUCACGAGUCCAUAACUACCGAAUCCACUACAUGUCAUUAUGCAUACUGUAAAACUUAGCUAUAUGAUGUGUGGUUCAGUUUCAAGGUAUGAGUUCAAAAUUGUUUGGUCACCUCAUGUCAUUUUCAUAGAGUCAUUUCUGUAAUCAAAACACUUUAAUCUUCCGGAUUGAUUAACCUUUAUCGCAUGUUGGAGUUUGAUCAAAAUAUUUUGUCAGAAUAAAAUGCUAAACAUCUGUUGAUUUCAAAACAACAAAGAGACAAAAGCAAGGCAUGUUUCGUUGAAGGAUGAGAUGUGAUCCCAAAACAAAAUGCAGAAUUCCAUAACAAUAUGAUUGACUGUUCAUCACCAUUCUCGAAUCAGCUUUUCUGGCAAUAUCUGUGUUUUGCAAAGCAUUUUCGAUCACAUGUCAUUCUGAAGAUGUUCGGGGAACAAUAUAGCCAGUGACACCCUUCUUCAACGACUCCACCUGUCUCUUGCUCACCAACUUUCAGACUCCAUUCUUGCAAUUCUUGAAACUGUUCACUUGAAAUGGUUGAGGACCCCACAUGACAUCACAUCUCUUAUCUGGAUUAUACCACCUAGAAUUUGGUGGUUGCAUGGGAUUUUGUCGGAGUCAAGCAAAAUUCUGGAAUCUGGUAGAUGCUGGUCGACAAACUUAAGUGGCAGGGAAUGUCCCAUCUUGGCAAAGACAUUGAUCAAUUGAUGCUACCGUGAGACCUGACUAUACAUAUAAUUAAGGGCUCACACCGUCAAAGUCAUCUCCUGAUUCACCUCUCAUCAUUGUUCUAGAAUCCAUGGCAGAUCCUUCAAUCUUUCUUCUCUUCAUAGCUUGUUCAAUUCUUCGGCAAAUCCUCACAGCAUUAUUCAAUCUUCCAAUGUUGCUAUGGUUGGUUGAGGAUUGUUAGAAAACUUUCUAACAGCUUGGUAAUCUUUGGCAGCGCCCAGAAACUUGUAGUAUCGCCACUAACCGACGUGUGGAAUCACACAUUGUCUUUAUUGGAGAGCACCUGCUGAAUCUAAAACUCCUUUGUCCCCUCUUCCAUUUCUCACUGACAGUGCAGCAACUUUCAGACUCCAUUCUUACAAUUCUUGAAACUGUUCACUUUGAAAUGGUUGAGGACCCCACCAUGACAUCACAUCUCUUAUCUGGAUUAUACCACCUAGAAUUUGGUGGUUGCAUGGGAUUUGUCGGAGUCAAGCAAAAUUCUGGAAUCUGGUAGAUGCUGGUCGACAAACUUAAGUGGCAGGGGAAUGUCCCAUCUUGGCAAAGACAUUUGAUCAAUUGAUGCUACCGUGAGACCUGACUAUACCAUAUAAUUAAGGGCUCACACCGUCAAAGUCAUCUCCUGAUUCACCUCUCAUCAUUGUUCUAGAAUCCAUGGCAGAUCCUUCAAUCUUUCUUCUCUUCAUAGCUUGUUCAAUUCUUCGGCAAAUCCUCACAGCAUUAUUUCAAUCUUCCAAUGUUGCUAUGGUUGGUUGAGGAUUGUUAGAAAACUUUCUAACAGCUUGGUAAUCUUGGCAGCGCCCAGAAACUUGUAGUAUCGCCACUACCGACGUGUGGAAUCACACAUUGUCUUUAUUGGAAGAGCACCUGCUGAAUCUAAAACUCCUUUGUCCCCUCUUCCAUUUCUCACUGACAGUGCAGCAACUUUCAGACUCCAUUCUUACAAUUCUUGAAACUGUUCACUUGAAAUGGUUGAGGACCCCACCAUGACAUCACAUCUCUUAUCUGGAUUAUACCACCUAGAAUUUGUGGUUGCAUGGGAUUUGUCGGAGUCAAGCAAAUUCUGGAAUCUGGUAGAUGCUGGUCGACAAACUUAAGUGGCAGGGGAAUGUCCCAUCUUGGCAAAGACAUUUGAUCAAUUGAUGCUACCGUGAGACCUGACUAUACCAUAUAAUUAAGGGCUCACACCGUCAAAGUCAUCUCCUGAUUCACCUCUCAUCAUUGUUCUAGAAUCCAUGGCAGAUCCUUCAAUCUUUCUUCUCUUCAUAGCUUGUUCAAUUCUUCGGCAAAUCCUCACAGCAUUAUUUCAAUCUUCCAAUGUUGCUAUGGUUGGUUGAGGAUUGUUAGAAAACUUUCUAACAGCUUGGUAAUCUUGGCAGCGCCCAGAAACUUGUAGUAUCGCCACUACCGACGUGUGGAAUCACACAUUGUCUUUAUUGGAAGAGCACCUGCUGAAUCUAAAACUCCUUUGUCCCCUCUUCCAUUUCUCACUGACAGUGCAGCAACUUUCAGACUCCAUUCUUACAAUUCUUGAAACUGUUCACUUGAAAUGGUUGAGGACCCCACCAUGACAUCACAUCUCUUAUCUGGAUUAUACCACCUAGAAUUUGGUGGUUGCAUGGGAUUUGUCGGAGUCAAGCAAAAUUCUGGAAUCUGGUAGAUGCUGGUCGACAAACUUAAGUGGCAGGGGAAUGUCCCAUCUUGGCAAAGACAUUUGAUCAAUUGAUGCUACCGUGAGACCUGACUAUACCAUAUAAUUAAGGGCUCACACCGUCAAAGUCAUCUCCUGAUUCACCUCUCAUCAUUGUUCUAGAAUCCAUGGCAGAUCCUUCAAUCUUUCUUCUCUUCAUAGCUUGUUCAAUUCUUCGGCAAAUCCUCACAGCAUUAUUUCAAUCUUCCAAUGUUGCUAUGGUUGGUUGAGGAUUGUUAGAAAACUUUCUAACAGCUUGGUAAUCUUGGCAGCGCCCAGAAACUUGUAGUAUCGCCACUACCGACGUGUGGAAUCACACAUUGUCUUUAUUGGAAGAGCACCUGCUGAAUCUAAAACUCCUUUGUCCCCUCUUCCAUUUCUCACUGACAGUGCAGCAAACAAACACCUAUAGAGGAAGUCCUGCUCUGUUGAAGUCUCAGUAUUCUUCAUGUUUUUCAGUCUAGGCAUGUAUCUUCUCUCUACUUUUGCAUUUUAAUACUGACACUGUUGGAGAAAAAUCAUAAAUGAUCUGAAACUACUGUAUUCCUUCUUGGAUUUCCCACUUGCGGAUCCACAAACAGAUUCCUGUCGGGAGAGCUCUGCUACGUUGAAGUUUGAUGUCUGCUCAUAUUUUUCAAACCAAGUCUGGCUCUUCAACCUGCUAUAGUUUCUUCGUGCUGAAACUGAUGAGAGAAAUAUUUGUAGCAUAUGCAAUUAGUAAAUCCCCUCUUGCAUUCCCAAUUUGCAGAGCCAUAAAUGGAUUUUUGUAGAGAGAGCUCUGCCACAUUGAAGUUUGACAACUGCUAAUAUUAUCAGACCAGGUCUGACUCUUCUGCCUACUACAAUGUUUUGCUGGUGCCACUGGUGGGAAAAAGUUUCAAAGCAUAUGAAAUUAAUACAUUCCCUUUUGCAUUUGCCAUUGACAGGUCCACAAAUAAAUCUCUACAGAGAGAGCUCUACCGCGUUGAAAUUCAGUGUCUGAUCAUGAUUUUUUUCAGACCAACAUCUUGUGCUGCUGAACUGGAAUUGAGCUCAUAAUUGGGGUAACUUCAAAGCAGACUAAUGCACCAUGUACAGGAGGCUAAUAGUCGUUUGGUUCCAUUAGAUGAUGUGGAGGCGAUGAACACUUAAGAGUGCAACUGGACAGGAAUCAGAGUUGUCAUUAGUUGAUGACUGAAGGCGUUGUUGCUUUUUUUCAUGACGAAAAAGAAGAGAUGCAACUUCAAUUAGAUGUGAACAAGCAGUGUUCCCACAUAAGACUGUGCAGAUAUUCUCUUUCCAUUUGAUGCUCAACACUUGUUCGAGCAGAUCUGAGUCCCGCUACUUCACCCUUGAUGCUCUCAACCUUAAUCUGAUACUGAACCUAUAUCUGACUCCUUUGUUCACUUCCAUUAUCUUUCUUCAAUCACGCGCAUCACAGCUUGUGCGGGGGACCUACCUUUCAACCCGGUACAUGUAUGUAAUCUAUAUGACGAACUCACCCUUCGAGGGGUGACAAUAUGGUCGUAACUCUUGUAUGAUGGAACAAGAAUCGUGAUUUUUGCCCAAACUCUACAAUGAAAAUUUUCUGAGCAACGGCCAACGUGUCACCCACAAGUCUCGAGUUCAAGAUGCUUCAAGAAGGGUUUGCCCUUAUGCAAAAAACGGUAGCACAUACAACCUAAGGACAGGUUUUAUUCAUUAUGUGAACAUGGGUAAGUUUUCUAUCUGGUCUCAAAAGGGUCUCAUAUCUGCCCAGUGACGUUCUUCGUAAAGACAGUUUGGGGGCGUUGCAAGGAAUGGUUAAGGUACGUAUACCCACCAUUACCAAGCAGGCACUCAGAUAUGAGUUGGGUGUUUCACGCAUCUGAACCCUGACCAAUAGUCUUAGGGCAGAUCGCUAGUUCCCCACCUAACCUAGAAGCUUGUGUGUGCUUUUGAAAAUAAAUACAAGUGAUGCAUGAGACAAUUCUAUAAAAUGCAUGGAAAUAAAUAUUAACCAAAAAGAUAAAAAUGCAAAAACUUAAACACAUCAAAUACACAAAGCUUAGUCCAAUAAUUGAAAAAAUACCGUCCCCAGUGGAGUCGCCAUUCUGUCGCACCCCAAAAAAAAUCAGCGCGCGACAUCGGCUGGCGAUUUUUCGUCUCGUUGUUGUUUGCUUGAAUUUGGUUCGUUGGAGUCGCCACCUAGUAAUUGAUUUCGGGCUACUAGGAAACUGGAUGUACUGGUCUUGUCAGAGAUUCACGGGUAAGGGACUGGUUGUGGUUAGGGAAGGUAUUAGCACCCCUAACGCACCCUACUUGAGGUAAGCUGCUUCGUGGCUUUGACGUGUUAAAGAAGUUUUAAUAAUUGUCUUUUCUUCGGAAAUUAGAAAUAUCACUUACGUAUAAGUUAAUAAUUCUUAACCGUGAUCCGAUCAAAAUAUUAAAUUCUUCUUUAACGUAUUUUCAAUCUCAUCCUUAAAAAUAUAUACAAAUGAAUAAAACAAAAUACAAACACACACAUACACGUGUUAAAGAAGUUUUAAUAAUUGUUUUUUUCAUCGGAAAUUAGAAAUAUCACUUACGUAUAAGUUAAUAAUUCUUAACCGUGAUCCAAUCAAAAUAUUAAAUUCUUCUUUAAUAUAUUUGCAAUUUUAUCAUUAAAAAUAUAUACAAAUAAAUAAAACAAAAUACAAACACACACACACACUUUCACUAUUUUUAUUCUUUUCUUUUCUUUUUCUUUUCUUUUACAUCCACAAAAUACAAAUACAAAUACAAAUUCAAAAUAAAUAAAUAAAAAUACACCAACACACACAUCCCCUUUGUUAUUAUUAUUUUCUUUUCUUUUCUUCUUUUUUUUCUUUUACAUCCAAAUACAAAUACAACUUCAAAUUCAAAAUAAACAAAUAAAAAUUACAUUAAUUAAUUUAAAAAUUACAAAAACAGUCCCUAAAAUUCUAAAAAAUUUCAGGGAAGGACUUCUGCAGCCGGAACAGUGUUCGUUAUGGUUUCUGGGCUCGGGAACAGUGGGGGCGCGUGGAUCUCACCCGCCACCACCACUGGCGGCGCGUGGGUCCACGCGCCGCCACAGAAAAUAAAACAGCAACAGGGGGUCUGGAUCGCCUUCUUCCCCUCUUCCUUCGUCGCCGGCAAUAACCUGCAAAGCAAACCCCCAACACAACAAGCAGUUGAUUUUAUUUUUUUUGUCUUAGAUCUGCUUUUAAUUUUUUUGUUUUCUCCGAUCUGUUCCUUCUCCUUCUCUUCUUCUCGGCUUCGGAUCUGCUCCUUCUACAGAUCGGUUCUGUUAUGGGUUUCUUCUUCUUCUCCGGUGGCAGAUCGGUCGUGGAGGAGCAGCUGUCCGUGGUCGCUGGGUUUCGUCUUCUUCUCCUCUGCUUCGGGUGGCAGAUCGGGCGGUGGCUCCG